CGUUGCGCGAUGGGGGUUGUGGGGUUUGUCCGGAACCUGCCGCAGCGGGAUCGGGGAGUUANAAACGCUUUCUGUAGCCGAACGGUGUUGGGAAAGCCGGUCGAAGAGGGUGAAAGCCCCGUAGGCGAAACGGAAGGCACUUNAACCCGGCUGGGUGUUGAGCCCAGUCGCCUCUAANGAGGCGGUCACCCGGCGAAGUGAAACAUCUCAGUAGCCGGAGGAGAAGAAAUCGAAGAGAUGCCCUGAGUAGUGGUGAGCGAAAGGGGUGNAGCCUAAACCNNUUGCGUGUCAAGCCUGCGGGCGUUGCGCGAUGGGGGUUGUGGGAUUUGUCCGGAACCUGCCGCAGCGGGAUCGGGGAGUUANAAACGCUUUCUGUAGCCGAACGGUGUUGGGAAAGCCGGUCGAAGAGGGUGAAAGCCCCGUAGGCGAAACGGAAGGCACUUCCUGGGACAGAAACCCGAGUAGGGCGGAGCACGUGGAAUUCCGUCUGAAUCUGGGCCGACCACGGUCCAAGGCUAAAUACCGCAGGCGACCGAUAGUGGAGCAGUACCGAGAGGGAAAGGUGAAAAGCACCCCUGGCGGGGAGUGAAAUAGACCUGAAACCGUGUGCCUACAAGCAGUCGGAGCCGGAAGCGGGGGCGACCUCGUGGAAGGUGACGGCGUGCCUCUUGGAAAAUGAGCCGGCGAGUUAUGGUGUGUGGCGAGGUUAAGGGCUUAUAGGUCCGGAGCCGAAGGGAAACCGAGUCUGAAUAGGGCGCGAGUCGCAUGCUAUAGACCCGAAGCCGUACGAUCUAUCCAUGGCCAGGUUGAAGUCCGGGUAAAACCGGAUGGAGGACCGAACCAGGGACUGUUGCAAAAGUCUUGGAUGAGCUGUGGAUAGGAGUGAAAAGCUAAUCGAGUACGGUGAUAGCUGGUUCUCCCCGAAAUGCAUUGAGGUGCAGCCUCAGGCGGAGAACGUNNCGGAGGUAGAGCUACUGGAUGGACGAGGGGGAGAGUGCUCCUACCGACUUCAACCAAACUCCGAAUGCCGUNACGGGAUACCUGGGAGUGAGACGGCGAGUGAGAAGAUCCGUCGUCGAGAGGGAAAGAACCCAGACCGCCAGCUAAGGUCCCGAAGCGCGGGCUAAGUGUGGUAAGGAUGUGGAGACGCCCAGACAGCCAGGAGGUUGGCUUAGAAGCAGCCACCCUUGAAAGAGUGCGUAAUAGCUCACUGGUCGAGCGUCUCUGCGCCGAAAAUGUAGGGGGCUAAGCCCGCCGCCGAAGCUGCGGAAUUCGCGCAAAUUGCGCGGACUGGUAGGGGAGCGUUCCAUGCUGGGNGAAGUCGCGUCGAGAGUCGCGGUGGACGGCAUGGAAGUGAGAAUGUCGGCAUGAGUAGCGAAAAACACGUGGGAAACGUGUUCACCGAAAGCCCAAGGUUUCCUGGGGAAGGUUCAUCCACCCAGGGUUAGGCGGGACCUAAGGCGAGGCCGAGAGGCGUAGUCGAUGGACAGCCGGUUGAUAUUCCGGCCCCGCCCCGAGGACGAUUGGACCGAAGGGGUGACGCAGGAGGCUAGGUGUGCCGGGUGAUGGAAGUCCCGGUCCAAGGGUGUAGGGGGACUCUGGAGGCAAAACCCUGGAGUCGCAACCCUGAGGCCUGACGGGGAGUCCCUUCGGGGACGAAGGCAUUGAGGCCAGGCUGCCGAGAAAAGCCUCUAGGGAGGAAUCGGGGCGCCCGUACUGGAAACCGACACAGGUGGGCUGGCUGAGCAGGCUAAGGUGAACGGGAUAACUCUCGUUAAGGAACUCUGCAAGUUGACCCCGUAACUUCGGGAGAAGGGGUGCCACCCUGGUGAGGCGUAAAGCAUGCGGAGCUGAGGGUGGUCGCAGAAACCAGGCCCAGGCGACUGUUUAAUAAAAACACAGGUCUCUGCUGAAGGCGUGAAGCCGACGUAUAGGGACUGACACCUGCCCGGUGCUGGAAGGUUAAGGGGAGAGGUUAGCCGCGAGGCGAAGCUUUGAACCGAAGCCCCAGUAAACGGCGGCCGUAACUAUAACGGUCCUAAGGUAGCGAAAUUCCUUGUCGGGUAAGUUCCGACCUGCACGAAUGGUGUAACGAUCUGGGCGCUGUCUCGACGGGAGACCCGGCGAAAUUGUGGAACUGGUCAAGACGCCAGUUGCCCGUGGUGGGACGGAAAGACCCCGUGGAGCUUUACUGUAUCCUGAUAUUGGAUUUCGGCAAGGCAUGUACAGGAUAGGUGGGAGGCAUGGAAGCGAGGGCGUCAGCCUUCGUGGAGCCGACGUUGGGAUACCACCCUUGUUUUGCUGGGAUUCUAACCGCCGUGUCUGAAUCGGCAGGCGGGACCGUGUCAGGUGGGCAGUUUGACUGGGGCGGUCGCCUCCCAAAGAGUAACGGAGGCGCGCGAAGGUCACCUCAGGGCGUAUGGAAACCGCCCGUUGAGUGCAAGGGUAUAAGGUGGCCUUACUGUGAGACCGACGGGUCGAGCAGUCACGAAAGUGGGUCCUAGUGAUCCGGCGGUGCCGAGUGGAAGGGCCGUCGCUCAUCGGAUAAAAGCUACCCCGGGGAUAACAGGCUGAUCUCGCCCGAGAGUUCCUAUCGACGGCGAGGUUUGGCACCUCGAUGUCGGCUCAUCGCAUCCUGGGGCUGAAGCAGGUCCCAAGGGUUGGUCUGUUCGCCCAUUAAAGCGGUACGUGAGCUGGGUUUAGAACGUCGUGAGACAGUUCGGUCCCUAUCCACCAUGGGCGCAAGUGAUUUGAGGGGAGCUGCUCCUAGUACGAGAGGACCGGAGUGGACGAACCGCUAGUGUACCGGUUGUGCCGCCAGGCGCAUAAGCCGGGUAGCCAUGUUCGGAUCGGAUAACCGCUGAAGGCAUCUAAGCGGGAAGCCGGCCCCAAGAUGAGAUCACUCACUGAGUCAAUCAGGUAAGGCGUCCCGUAGACGACGGGAUGGAUAGGCCGGGGGUGUAAGCCCUGAGAGGGGUUGAGCUGACCGGUACUAAUACGCCGAGGCCUUGACUCC
RNAcentral lists this ribosomal RNA (3016 nucleotides) under Synergistetes bacterium JGI 0000079-D21. Its description in RNAcentral is "bacterial LSU rRNA". It matches the Rfam family "Bacterial large subunit ribosomal RNA". The record is from RNAcentral. Lineage: Bacteria; Thermotogati; Synergistota.